This 66-nucleotide transfer RNA is filed under the name Zyginella minuta. RNAcentral describes it as "tRNA-Arg". The record is from RNAcentral. Lineage: Eukaryota; Metazoa; Arthropoda; Insecta; Hemiptera; Cicadellidae.
GACAAAGAAGUAAAAUUUUACAAUUAAUUUCGACCUAAUAGUAGGGUAACUAGAAACCCCUUGUCU